AUUAUUUCUUGAAAUAUUUAGUUGUGCUUCUUGGUUUGUGUAUUACGUGGGGUUUUGAUUAUUUUUUGCUCCUAGAGUAAGAGAUGAAAUUUCCACUCCCAGAGAAAAGCCAUGAUUUUCUUUGGAUUCUUUCUUUAUCUUUACAGAAAAUGAAGGAUUACAGCAGCAGAAAUUAAAUACUCAGCAAGCAUCAUUUAAUUUGAUGUGUUAUAACUUCAUGUUUCACAAUUUUUGAGCUAUUCUUUAUUAUCCUUUUUCCAGGCAUGUAAAAUUAUCAAGGGACAAAGAUACACCAAUAGAAAUACUUGGUGAUCACAUAACUGUUGUGCGAAGGGAUCACGAGCACAAAUCUCAAAGUGAAAAAGGAGAAUAAGAAAUGUUACAGCUCGAGAAGAAACCAAGAGAAAAUAAAAAAGCUCUUCAAGAAGAAAAAGCCCGGCAACAAAAUGCAGGCUAGGCUGGAAGCUGAAAGAGUUGAAAUGUAAAAGCCGCAGGACGGGAGGCUGAGAGGAAGCAAAAAAAGUAACUACAGCAACGUUUCUGAGUCAUUGAUAAAUGCUUCUCCGAGCUAGCAACGUUCAAAGGAAGUGACUAGACAGGAUGUGAAACCCAUACCUGAUUAGCAGAAACAUAUAUUCAGCAGGCCAUCUCUCUAUGGCACAAUCUGGAUUUGCUUAGCUGAUUCAUUUAAAUCCUAUUUGUGUAACAGAGAAGUUGCAGCUGCGGUAAAAUACCAAUCAUCCAGUAUCUUACAGAUGAAUGCAUCUCACAAGUUUAUCCAAAGCUCUCAUUUGAUUUUUGUGGGCGUUACGUUGGAUAUCACUGAAUGUAUUUGAGAAGAUUACUCUCUAAUGUGAAUCAUUCACACGAGCUACAUGUUUGAUGGUUGGUCCAACAUAAUGAAAAAACUGGAUGGACAGGUGAAGACAGUGACCAUGUUGCUAAAUACUCUUAAAGUCACAUUGUUGUAUGUGGACAACAAUUCUGUCCUGAUAAUGAAUAGUUAUGACUUUUAAAUACACUGUCUCCCUUUAGCCUGUAAUACUUUGCUUUAUAAAGCAUCCUAGCAAAACCUUAUAAGUGUACGAAAACAUAUUUCGUGACAUGUUUCUUCUCUAAUAAUUA
Nicotiana attenuata is the source of this 1125-nucleotide long non-coding RNA. RefSeq lists it as uncharacterized. Lineage: Eukaryota; Viridiplantae; Streptophyta; Magnoliopsida; Solanales; Solanaceae. The record is from RefSeq and is a predicted model, not a curated record. The transcript has 5 exons.